This 505-nucleotide ribosomal RNA is filed under the name uncultured bacterium. Its description in RNAcentral is "partial 16S ribosomal RNA". It matches the Rfam family "Bacterial small subunit ribosomal RNA", at positions 28 to 507 of the family's 1533-position model. The record is from RNAcentral.
GACGAACGCUGGCGGCGUGCCUAAUACAUGCAAGUAGAACGCACAGUUUAUACCGUAGCUUGCUACACCAUAAACUGUGAGUUGCGAACGGGUGAGUAACGCGUAGGUAACCUGCCUGGUAGCGGGGGAUAACUAUUGGAAACGAUAGCUAAUACCGCAUAAUAUUAAUUAUUGCAUGAUAAUUGAUUGAAAGAUGCAAUUGCAUCACUACCAGAUGGACCUGCGUUGUAUUAGCUAGUAGGUGAGGUAACGGCUCACCUAGGCGACGAUACAUAGCCGACCUGAGAGGGUGAUCGGCCACACUGGGACUGAGACACGGCCCAGACUCCUACGGGAGGCAGUAGUAGGGAAUCUUCGGCAAUGGACGAAAGUCUGACCGAGCAACGCCGCGUGAGUGAAGAAGGUUUUCGGAUCGUAAAGCUCUGUUGUAAGAGAAGAACGGGUGUGAGAGUGGAAAGUUCACACUGUGACGGUAUCUUACCAGAAAGGGACGGCUAACUACGUG